GCCUGGGUGGCUUAGUCGGUUAAGCAUCUGACUUCAACUCAGGUCAUGAUCUCACAGUUUGUGAGUUUGAGCCCCGCGUUAGGCU
Molecule: transfer RNA, 85 nt
Filed under: Felis catus (domestic cat)
Lineage: Eukaryota; Metazoa; Chordata; Mammalia; Carnivora; Felidae
Rfam family: tRNA
About the family: Transfer RNA (tRNA) molecules are approximately 80 nucleotides in length.
Source: Rfam by way of RNAcentral